AUGCAGCAAAGGAUGUACAUCCAGUUGUUAGGACUGGGUGGACAUCUCAAGACACCUAGCAUCAAAAUCAGACGUGUACUGUGCAUGGCCAUCGCUAAUUCAUAUGAUGCAGAGCAAGAUGCCUUUAUCAUCAAUGGGAGACCAUGUAGGAUCACACUAGAAGAUGUAGCGCAUAUAACAGGCAUGCCCUGCCAUGGGAAGAAGCACGUCCCUUCAAAUCUUGAUGAUAAUAUGGAGUUGUGGAAGAAACUGAAAGACCGUAAUGACACCAAAAUAACCUUCAAAAGAUUGCUAGCCAAGAUGAAAGGCGACAACACACCAAAUUUUGUCAGGCCAUUUGUCUUGUACACCAUAGGCAAAUAUGUAUGCCGAACAAAAGAGGAGUAUGUGGAUAACAAAUAUAUUGGGAUUGUUUGA
Molecule: ribosomal RNA, 417 nt
Filed under: Triticum aestivum (bread wheat)
Lineage: Eukaryota; Viridiplantae; Streptophyta; Magnoliopsida; Poales; Poaceae
Description: partial small subunit ribosomal RNA
Source: RNAcentral